RNAcentral lists this long non-coding RNA (1170 nucleotides) under Anser cygnoides (Swan goose). RNAcentral describes it as "lncRNA (ENSACDG00005010550.1)". The record is from RNAcentral. Lineage: Eukaryota; Metazoa; Chordata; Aves; Anseriformes; Anatidae.
GCCUGGGCACGGGGGGCGGCCCCGGUGUGUGUGUGAGGGGUGUGAGGGGUGUGAGGGGUGUGAGGGGUGUGAGGGGUGUGAGGGGUGUGUGAGUGUGAGUGUGAGUGUGAGUGUGAGUGUGAGUGUGUGUGUGUGUGUGUGAGUGUGUCCGUGCCCACACCGUGUCCCUGCAUCGCCACAUCCCCGUGUCCCCACAUCCCCGUGUCCCCACGGCCCCACACGUCUCCUGUGUCCUGCAUUCCCAUGUCCCCACAUCCCCGUUUCUGUCCCCGUGUCCCUGUGUCCCAGUAUGCCCAUAUCUGUGUCCCCCUGUCCCUGUGUCCCCAAGUCCCAGCGUCUCCAUAUCUGUGUACCCACAUCCCCAUGUCCCCAUUUCCCCAUGUCCCCAUGUCCCCGUGUCCCAGCACCCCAAUGUCUGUAUCCCCACAGCCCUGUCCCCAUGUCCCCGUGUCCCCCUGUCCCAGUGACCCAGCGUCCCCAUGUCCGUGUCCCCAUGUUCCCACAUCCCCACAACCCUGUGUCCCCACAUCCCUGUCCUCACGUCCCCAUAACCGUGUCCCCAUGUCCCAGCGUCCCCAUGUCCCAGCAUCCCCAUGUCUGUGUCCCCACAUCCCCACGUCCCACGUCCCUGUGUCCCCAUGUCCCCAUGUCCCCACAUCCCCCCGUCUGUGUCCCCACAUCCCCACGUCCCCGCAUCCAGGCGGUGCCGAUGCGGUGGCCGGGGCCGGCUCAUGCGCGGUGGCGCUGUGCCCCUCAGCGGGGGUCCCAGUGCCCGCACAUGGGGGUGUCCGGCAGCGAGGUCGGUGUGCGUGCCGCCGUGCGUCGCACGCCCGUGUCCACACGUGGGCACGCUCCGGGGUUGUGCGCUCAGCCUGCGCGCAGGCCCCGUGCCCCCUUCAGGGGCUGCAGCCCCGGGGGGCGGCCGUGCAGAGGGGGGGUCCCACGGCGGGGCCUUCGGGGUGCACCCGGCGGGGGGCAGAACCACCCCCCCCCCCAGCCCCGACCCCAAGCAGGCAGCGAGGCCGGGCGCGGUGAGAACGGGUUUUAAUGAGCAAACGGAGCGGCACCGCGCGGGGCGGCCGCAGCUACGCGGGGCGGACCCCGCACGCCUACAGGACCAACUAUGGGGACAAAGUGCACGAGCCACAUUUCACAUUUCACACUACCCCG